GGAGUUUGGACCGUGUCUCAGUUCCAAUGUGGCCGAUCACCCUCUCAGGUCGGCUACGCAUCCUCGCCUUGGUGGGCUGUUAUCUCACCAACUAGCUAAUGCGCCGCAGGUCCAUCUUUAAGUGACCCAUACGGGCCUUUUAAAUAGAAGAGAUGCCUCUUCCAUUGUUAUCCGGUAUUAGCCAAAGUUUCCUCUGGGUAUCCCAAGCUUAAAGGCAGGUUACCUACGUGUUACUCACCCGUUCGCCACUAGGGUGCAAGCACCCUCGUUCGACUUGCAUGUGUUAGGCACGCCGCCAGCGUUCAUC
Molecule: ribosomal RNA, 307 nt
Filed under: uncultured Anaeroplasmataceae bacterium
Lineage: Bacteria; Bacillati; Mycoplasmatota; Mollicutes; Anaeroplasmatales; Anaeroplasmataceae
Description: partial 16S ribosomal RNA
Source: RNAcentral